This 635-nucleotide ribosomal RNA is filed under the name uncultured bacterium. RNAcentral describes it as "bacterial SSU rRNA". It matches the Rfam family "Bacterial small subunit ribosomal RNA", at positions 201 to 853 of the family's 1533-position model. The record is from RNAcentral.
GAAAUGGAUUUCCGCCUAGAGAGAAGCUUGCGGCUGAUUAGCUUGUUGGUGAGGUAAUGGCUCACCAAGGCGACGAUCAGUAUCUGGUUUGAGAGGACGAUCAGACACACUGGAACUGAGACACGGUCCAGACUCCUACGGGAGGCAGCAGUGGGGAAUUUUCCGCAAUGGGCGAAAGCCUGACGGAGCAAUACCGCGUGAGGGAUGACGGCCUAUGGGUUGUAAACCUCUUUNUUCAGGGAGGAAUCAAUGACGUGUACCUGAAGAAUAAGCAUCGGCUAACUCCGUGCCAGCAGCCGCGGUAAGACGGAGGAUGCAAGUGUUAUCCGGAAUCACUGGGCGUAAAGCGUCUGUAGGUGGUUUAAUAAGUCAACUGUUAAAUCUUGAGGCUCAACCUCAAAAUCGCAGUCGAAACUAUUAGACUAGAGUAUAGUAGGGGUAAAGGGAAUUUCCAGUGGAGCGGUGAAAUGCGUAGAUAUUGGAAGGAACACCGAUGGCGAAGGCACUUUACUGGGCUAUUACUAACACUCAGAGACGAAAGCUAGGGUAGCAAAUGGGAUUAGAUACCCCAGUAGUCCUAGCUGUAACAAUGGAUACUAGAUGUUGAACAGAUCGACCUGUGCAGUAUCAAAGCU